ACCUAGCUGGCUCAAUCGGUAGAGCAUGAGACUCUUGAUCUCAGGGUUGUAAGUUCGCUCCCCACUGUGGGUA
RNAcentral lists this transfer RNA (73 nucleotides) under Felis catus (domestic cat). It matches the Rfam family "tRNA". From Rfam's summary of the family: Transfer RNA (tRNA) molecules are approximately 80 nucleotides in length. The record is from Rfam by way of RNAcentral. Lineage: Eukaryota; Metazoa; Chordata; Mammalia; Carnivora; Felidae.